GGUGGCUCAGCGAUAGAGUGCAUGCCUUGCAAGCAUGAGGCCCUGGGUUCGAUUCCCCAGCACCA
Molecule: non-coding RNA, 65 nt
Organism: Dipodomys ordii (Ord's kangaroo rat)
Lineage: Eukaryota; Metazoa; Chordata; Mammalia; Rodentia; Heteromyidae
Source: Rfam